This 1421-nucleotide long non-coding RNA is filed under the name Cyanistes caeruleus (blue tit). Its description in RNAcentral is "lncRNA (ENSCCEG00000003126.1)". Lineage: Eukaryota; Metazoa; Chordata; Aves; Passeriformes; Paridae. The record is from RNAcentral.
UGCUGUGGGCAUUCUGUGGCCGUGUCUGUGGGGUUCUGUCCUGUCCCAUUGUCCCUGCUCGUGUCUGUGUCAGUGUCCCUGAGUUCCUGUCCUGUCCCACUGUCCAUGUCUGUGUCGGUGUCCCUGGGCUCCUGUCCCUGCUGGUGUCUGUGUCAGUGUCCCUGGGCUCCUGUCCUGUCCCACUGUCCCUGCUGGUGUCUGUGUCUGUUACCGCUGAAGAUGAAUAGAUCACACGGACACAGAUCGAGGUGUGGUGAAGAAAGAGCACAGUUUAUUUUUCCCCCCAGGAUUUAUAAGUUUCUGACCACGGCCAGGGAUUAGAUUGGUCAGAAAUUGGCCAGGGAUUGGAUGGUCAGGAUAACACUUUCCCCCUGCACUGGCCAUGAGAGAUGCCCAUCACAAAACGUGGAACAGAAAGAAUGUACACAUAUCUAUGUUUACAGUCACUGUCCUGGGAAAGUCCUUAGAAAACCAUGGCAGCAAGCUCAGAAGCUGAGUUUUCAGGGCGACACAUGUCCAUGUCCAUGGGCUCCUGUCCCUGCUGGUGUCCGUGUCAGUGUCCCUGGGUUCCUGUCCUGUCCCACUGUCCAUGUCUGUGUCAGUGUCCCUGGGCUCCUGUCCCUGCUGGUGUCUGUGUCAGUGUCCCUGGGCUCCUGUCCUGUCCCACUGUCCCUGCUGGUGUCUGUGUCGGUGUCCGUGUCCGUGUCUAUGUCCGUGUCUGUGUCCAUAUCCGUGUCCCUGGGCUCCCGUCCUGUCCCACUGUCCACGUCUGUGUCAGUGUCCCUGGGCUCCUGUCCUGUCCCAUUGUCCCUGCUGGUGUCCGUGUCCGUGUCUGUGUCCAUAUCCGUGUCCCUGGGCUCCUGUCCCUGCUCGUGUCCAUGUCCGUGUCAGUGUCCCUGGGCUCCUGUCCUGUCCCACUGUCCCUGCUGGUGUCCGUGUCCGUGUCCCUGGGCUCCUGUCCUGUCCCAUUGUCCAUGUCUGUGUCAGUGUCCGUGUCCGUGUCUGUGUCCAUAUCCGUGUCCCUGGGCUCCUGUCCUGUCCCAUUGUCCCUGCUGGUGUCCGUGUCAGUGUCCCUGGGCUCCUGUCCCACUGUCCAUGUCUGUGUCAGUGUCCAUGGGCUCCUGUCCCUGCUCGUGUCCAUGUCCGUGUCAGUGUCCCUGGGCUCCUGUCCCUGCUGGUGUCCGUGUCCAUGGUCUCCUGUCCCUGUCCGUGUGUCCUAACUGACUGUGCUCUCUGUCUGUCCCACCUCAGCCUGACGCGGAGGACGAAGCCGUGAGGACGAUCUCUCUGGGAGCAGGGGACAGGCAGGUGAUCCAGACCCCCAUCAAUGACUCUCUGCCCGUCAGCAGCUGCAGCGUGGCCCUGCUCUUCCGCCAGCUCGGUGAGACGUGUCCCCACGCUGUCCCCACGCUGUCCCCAUU